This 553-nucleotide ribosomal RNA is filed under the name uncultured bacterium. Its description in RNAcentral is "bacterial SSU rRNA". It matches the Rfam family "Bacterial small subunit ribosomal RNA", at positions 60 to 601 of the family's 1533-position model. The record is from RNAcentral.
AGUCGAGGGGCAGCGGGGUUGUAGCAAUACAACUGCCGGCGACCGCCGCUCGGGUGAGUAACACGUAUGUAACCUGCCCUCUGCAGGGGGAUAAGCGGAAGAAAUUCCGUCUAAUACCGCAUAACACAAUUUGGAGACAUCUCCGGGUUGUCAAAGGAGUGAUCCGGCAGAGGAUGGACAUGCGGCGCAUUAGCUAGUCGGCGGGGUAACGGCCCACCGAGGCUACGAUGCGUAGGGGUUCUGAGAGGAAGGUCCCCCACACUGGUACUGAGACACGGACCAGACUCCUACGGGAGGCAGCAGUGAGGAAUAUUGGUCAAUGGGCGGAAGCCUGAACCAGCCAAGUCGCGUGAGGGAAGACGGUCCUAUGGAUUGUAAACCUCUUUUGCAGGGGAGCAAGGCGCGGUACGUGUACCGCGAAGGAGAGUACCCUGAGAAAAAGCAUCGGCUAACUCCGUGCCAGCAGCCGCGGUAAUACGGAGGAUGCGAGCGUUAUCCGGAUUUAUUGGGUUUAAAGGGUGCGCAGGCGGACUGUUAAGUCAGCGGUAAAAUG